ACGAACGCUGGCGGCGUGCCUAAUACAUGCAAGUCGAACGCUUCUUUUCCCACCGGAGCUUGCUCCACCGGGAAAAGAGGAGUGGCGAACGGGUGAGUAACACGUGGGUAACCUGCCCAUCAGAAGGGGAUAACACUUGGAAACAGGUGCUAAUACCGUAUAACAAUCGAAACCGCAUGGUUUCGUUUUGAAAGGCGCUUUACGGUGCCGCUGAUGGAUGGACCCGCGGUGCAUUAGCUAGUUGGUGAGGUAACGGCUCACCAAGGCCACGAUGCAUAGCCGACCUGAGAGGGUGAUCGGCCACAUUGGGACUGAGACACGGCCCAAACUCCUACGGGAGGCAGCAGUAGGGAAUCUUCGGCAAUGGACGAAAGUCUGACCGAGCAACGCCGCGUGAGUGAAGAAGGUUUUCGGAUCGUAAAACUCUGUUGUUAGAGAAGAACAAGGGUGAGAGUAACUGUUCACCCCUUGACGGUAUCUAACCAGAAAGCCACGGCUAACUACGUGCCAGCAGCCGCGGUAAUACGUAGGUGGCAAGCGUUGUCCGGAUUUAUUGGGCGUAAAGCGAGCGCAGGCGGUUUCUUAAGUCUGAUGUGAAAGCCCCCGGCUCAACCGGGGAGGGUCAUUGGAAACUGGGAGACUUGAGUGCAGAAGAGGAGAGUGGAAUUCCAUGUGUAGCGGUGAAAUGCGUAGAUAUAUGGAGGAACACCAGUGGCGAAGGCGGCUCUCUGGUCUGUAACUGACGCUGAGGCUCGAAAGCGUGGGGAGCAAACAGGAUUAGAUACCCUGGUAGUCCACGCCGUAAACGAUGAGUGCUAAGUGUUGGAGGGUUUCCGCCCUUCAGUGCUGCAGCUAACGCAUUAAGCACUCCGCCUGGGGAGUACGACCGCAAGGUUGAAACUCAAAGGAAUUGACGGGGGCCCGCACAAGCGGUGGAGCAUGUGGUUUAAUUCGAAGCAACGCGAAGAACCUUACCAGGUCUUGACAUCCUUUGACCACUCUAGAGAUAGAGCUUCCCCUUCGGGGGCAAAGUGACAGGUGGUGCAUGGUUGUCGUCAGCUCGUGUCGUGAGAUGUUGGGUUAAGUCCCGCAACGAGCGCAACCCUUAUUGUUAGUUGCCAUCAUUUAGUUGGGCACUCUAGCAAGACUGCCGGUGACAAACCGGAGGAAGGUGGGGAUGACGUCAAAUCAUCAUGCCCCUUAUGACCUGGGCUACACACGUGCUACAAUGGGAAGUACAACGAGUCGCGAAGUCGCGAGGCUAAGCUAAUCUCUUAAAGCUUCUCUCAGUUCGGAUUGUAGGCUGCAACUCGCCUACAUGAAGCCGGAAUCGCUAGUAAUCGCGGAUCAGCACGCCGCGGUGAAUACGUUCCCGGGCCUUGUACACACCGCCCGUCACACCACGAGAGUUUGUAACACCCGAAGUCGGUGAGGUAACCUUUUUGGAGCCAGCCGCCUAAGGUGGGAUAGAUGAUUGGGGUGAAGUCGUAACAAGGUAGCCGUAUCGGAAGGUGCGGCUGGAUCACCUC
Molecule: ribosomal RNA, 1529 nt
Filed under: Enterococcus mundtii
Lineage: Bacteria; Bacillati; Bacillota; Bacilli; Lactobacillales; Enterococcaceae
Description: 16S ribosomal RNA
Rfam family: Bacterial small subunit ribosomal RNA
Source: RNAcentral